Paramuricea clavata is the source of this 448-nucleotide non-coding RNA. NCBI's taxonomy places the organism in Eukaryota, Metazoa, Cnidaria, Anthozoa, Malacalcyonacea, Plexauridae. The record is from the annotation of a GenBank genome assembly.
CUUCCGUAUUGGUUCAUAUCAGACCAUGGUUCUCUAUUCCCUUUAUCUGAAGCCUGGUUUCCAUAGGGUCGUAAAAAUAGAGUGACGAUCUUUCUCAACGGCCAGUUUAUAAUAGUUUAUGCCUGUAAAGUACAUAUAAAUCAUAAGUAUUCUCUAGUUAUAAUCACUCCGCGUAUUUUCAAGUUCUCAAAUGUUGUAUUUCGGCCGAUUGACUCAACUUUUUACGAUUGUUACGACCAUAUGGAAACCAGACAUAUCCUGCAAAGAUGAACCCGACAUUUUAAGGCUAUCGAAAAACUAUAGAAUAUUUCCAUGUUUUACAGAGAGACGUCACAGCUGCUAACCCCUCACCCCCCUCCCCCCCCCGAAAAAAACCGAACUUAUGACGUUUCUCGUGGACAAAAUCGAUAUGCGAGGCUUCCCUAAACAGAUAAUCCCUAGACAAAAA